GACGAACGCUGGCGGCGUGCUUAACACAUGCAAGUCGAACGGGCCUGUCUUCUUUUUUGGGGGUGGGUUGAGUGGCGAACGGGUGAGUAUCACGUGAGUAACCUGCCCUUCGGUCCUGGAUAACCGCUUGAAAGGGCGGCUAAUACGGGGUGGUCCGGUUGGUCCGCAUGGGCUGGUCGGGAUAGAUUCACUGUUUUUGGUGUUUCGGCGGGGGAUGGGCUCGCGGCCUAUCAGCUUGUUGGUGGGGUGAUGGCCUACCAAGGCGGUGACGGGUAGCCGGGCUGAGAGGGUGGGCGGCCACAGUGGGACUGAGAUACGGCCCAGACUCCUGCGGGAGGCAGCAGUGGGGGGUAUUGCACAAUGGGCGGAAGCCUGAUGCAGCGACGUCGCGUGAGGGAUGGAGGCCUUCGGGUUGUGAACCUCUGUUUCCGGUGGUGAAGGCCCUGUCCGUGUGGUGGGGUUGACGGUAGCCGGGGAUGAAGCGCCGGCUAACUACGUG
RNAcentral lists this ribosomal RNA (499 nucleotides) under uncultured bacterium. RNAcentral's name for it is "partial 16S ribosomal RNA". It matches the Rfam family "Bacterial small subunit ribosomal RNA", at positions 28 to 507 of the family's 1533-position model. The record is from RNAcentral.